AGUGAACGCUGGCGGUAGGCCUAACACAUGCAAGUCGAACGGCAGCACAGUAAGAGCUUGCUCUUACGGGUGGCGAGUGGCGGACGGGUGAGGAAUACAUCGGAAUCUACUUUUUCGUGGGGGAUAACGUAGGGAAACUUACGCUAAUACCGCAUACGACCUACGGGUGAAAGCAGGGGAUCUACGGACCUUGCGCGAUUGAAUGAGCCGAUGUCGGAUUAGCUAGUUGGCGGGGUAAAGGCCCACCAAGGCGACGAUCCGUAGCUGGUCUGAGAGGAUGAUCAGCCACACUGGAACUGAGACACGGUCCAGACUCCUACGGGAGGCAGCAGUGGGGAAUAUUGGACAAUGGGCGCAAGCCUGAUCCAGCCAUACCGCGUGGGUGAAGAAGGCCUUCGGGUUGUAAAGCCCUUUUGUUGGGAAAGAAAAGCAGCAGGCUAAUACCCCGCUGUUCUGACGGUACCCAAAGAAUAAGCACCGGCUAACUUCGUG
Molecule: ribosomal RNA, 492 nt
Filed under: uncultured bacterium
Lineage: Bacteria
Description: partial 16S ribosomal RNA
Rfam family: Bacterial small subunit ribosomal RNA
Source: RNAcentral